GAAUCCGCUAAGGAGUGUGUAACAACUCACCUGCMGAAUGAAUUAGCCCUGAAAAUGGAUGGCGCUUAAGCGGAUGACCGACACCAUGCCGUCUGAAUGAUAUAUUUUCAGAUGAGUAGGAGGACGUGGUGAUUGUAACGAAGUAUGUGUGCGAACACGUAUAGAACGAUCACUAGUGCAGAUCUUGGUGGUAGUAGCAAAUAUUCAAGCGAGAUCCUUGAAGGGCGAAGCGGGGAAGGGUUCCACGCUAACAUUGAUUGGGCGUGGGUGAGUCGUUCCUAAGCCGAGUGGCAAUUGCUAAGUAACGGCGAAAGGGAAGCAGGUUUACAUUCCUGCACACGGAUGUGGAGGUGGUGACACUUUAUUGAGGCGAACACAUUGGCGAUGGCGCUAGGCAGAGUUGUCUUUUCUGUUUAACCGUUUGUAUAUAUUGUGUGGAGUCCGAUUAUCGGGAGAAACACAUAUAUACGGGCAGAGCGCCGGGGCUUAUCCGGCGUCUAGCUCGCCAUCGACGAUCCUUGAAACUUUGCCUGCUGAAUUUUUAAUAUCCACGCCGUGGCGUACCGAUCACCGCAUCAGGUCCCCGAGGUGAACAGCCUCUGCUCAAUAUGAAAAAUGCAGGUAAGGGAAGUCGGCA
Molecule: ribosomal RNA, 637 nt
Filed under: Pterocladiella caerulescens
Lineage: Eukaryota; Rhodophyta; Florideophyceae; Gelidiales; Pterocladiaceae
Description: eukaryotic LSU rRNA
Rfam family: Eukaryotic large subunit ribosomal RNA
Source: RNAcentral